GACGAACGCUGGCGGCACGCUUAACACAUGCAAGUCGAACGAAGAAGUGUCACCGUAGCUUGCUACACCGAUACUUUUUAGUGGCGGACGGGUGAGUAACACGUGAGCAAUCUGCCUUUCAGAGGGGGAUACCAGUUGGAAACGACUGUUAAUACCGCAUAACAUAAAGGGAUCGCAUGAUUUUUUAUCAAAGAUUUAUCGCUGAAAGAUGAGCUCGCGUCUGAUUAGCUAGAUGGCGGGGUAACGGCCCACCAUGGCGACGAUCAGUAGCCGGUCUGAGAGGAUGAACGGCCACAUUGGGACUGAGAUACGGCCCAGACUCCUACGGGAGGCAGCAGUGGGGAAAUAUUGGGCGAAUGGGGAACCCGUAGACCAGCAACGCCGCGUGAAGGAAGAAGGCCUCGG
This 405-nucleotide ribosomal RNA is filed under the name uncultured bacterium. RNAcentral's name for it is "bacterial SSU rRNA". It matches the Rfam family "Bacterial small subunit ribosomal RNA", at positions 28 to 420 of the family's 1533-position model. The record is from RNAcentral.